Molecule: ribosomal RNA, 445 nt
Filed under: uncultured bacterium
Lineage: Bacteria
Description: partial 16S ribosomal RNA
Rfam family: Bacterial small subunit ribosomal RNA
Source: RNAcentral
GUGAGGAAUAUUGCGCAAUGGAGGCAACUCUGACGCAGCCAUGCCGCGUGCAGGAAGAAGGCGCUACGCGUUGUAAACUGCUUUUAACCGGGAAGAAACCCCAGGACGUGUCCUGGGUUGACGGUACCGGAGGAAUAAGCACCGGCUAACUUCGUGCCAGCAGCCGCGGUAAUACGAAGGGUGCAAGCGUUAUCCGGCUUCAUUGGGUUUAAAGGGUGCGUAGGAGGAGCGUUAAGUCAGUGGUGAAAUCCUGCAGCUUAACUGUAGACUUGCCAUUGAUACUGGCGCGCUUGAGUGCGCUUGAAGUGGGCGGAAUGUGCCGUGUAGCGGUGAAAUGCUUAGAUAUGGCACAGAACACCAAUUGCGAAGGCAGCUCACUAAGGCGAUACUGACGCUGAGGCACGAAAGCGUGGGGAUCGAACAGGAUUAGAAACCCGGGUAGUCC